AUCUACAGCCAUACCACCCUAAAUGCACUCUAUCUUGUCUGAUCUUGGAAGCUAAGCAGGGUCCGGUCUGGUGAAUACAUGGAUGGGAGAAGUCAAAUGAAUUGGUCAAGGACAUGUAGUUG
Molecule: ribosomal RNA, 122 nt
Filed under: Jaculus jaculus (lesser Egyptian jerboa)
Lineage: Eukaryota; Metazoa; Chordata; Mammalia; Rodentia; Dipodidae
Source: RNAcentral